Molecule: ribosomal RNA, 346 nt
Filed under: Wagneriana iguape
Lineage: Eukaryota; Metazoa; Arthropoda; Arachnida; Araneae; Araneidae
Description: partial small subunit ribosomal RNA
Source: RNAcentral
CUUCUAUAUUUGAAUAAAUUUAGGUACUACUUAAUUUUUAAGGAAACCAAUACAGUUUGACGGCAUUAUUUUAAUUUAGAGGAACCUGUUUACUAAUCGACAAUACACGAUAAAUUUUACUUUUAUUCACAUUUUACAUACCUCCGUCUUGAGGAUUAAUGUUUAAAUUUCCCCUAAAUAGAGUUCUAAUAAGUUAGGUAAAGGUGUAGACAAUAUAAAAGUUAUAGAUAGGUUACUUAUAAAUUCUAUUUAAGGAAUUAUUUUUAAAUAAGUAACGUAAAAAGGAUUUAUUAGUAUUUUAAGACUAUUAUUCUUGACCGAAUCUAUUAAAUAAUGUGUACACAUC